GACGAACGCUGGCGGCGUGCCUAAUACAUGCAAGUUGAGCGCUGAAGGUUGGUACUUGUACCGACUGGAUGAGCAGCGAACGGGUGAGUAACGCGUGGGGAAUCUGCCUUUGAGCGGGGGACAACAUUUGGAAACGAAUGCUAAUACCGCAUAAAAACUUUAAACACAAGUUUUAAGUUUGAAAGAUGCAAUUGCAUCACUCAAAGAUGAUCCCGCGUUGUAUUAGCUAGUUGGUGAGGUAAAGGCUCACCAAGGCGAUGAUACAUAGCCGACCUGAGAGGGUGAUCGGCCACAGUGGGACUGAGACACGGCCCAAACUCCUACGGGAGGCAGCAGUAGGGAAUCUUCGGCAAUGGACGAAAGUCUGACCGAGCAACGCCGCGGGAGUGAAGAAGGGUUUCGGAUCGUAAAACUCUGUUGGUAGAGAAGAACGUUGGUGAGAGUGGAAAGCUCAUCAAGUGACGGUAACUACCCAGAAAGGGACGGCUAACUACGUG
RNAcentral lists this ribosomal RNA (497 nucleotides) under uncultured bacterium. RNAcentral describes it as "partial 16S ribosomal RNA". It matches the Rfam family "Bacterial small subunit ribosomal RNA", at positions 28 to 507 of the family's 1533-position model. The record is from RNAcentral.